This 19-nucleotide small RNA is filed under the name Arabidopsis thaliana (thale cress). Its description in RNAcentral is "ATSL075100". The record is from RNAcentral. Lineage: Eukaryota; Viridiplantae; Streptophyta; Magnoliopsida; Brassicales; Brassicaceae.
CAAAAAACCAAAAAAAACA